AUGUUUUUUCAUCAUCUGUUGACGAUUGAUGAACGUAUAUAUGGUUUCAUCUGCAGUCAUAUGGUAUAUAUGGUUUCAUCUGCAGUCAUAUGGUAUAUAUGGUUUCAUCUGCAGUCAUAUGGUAUAUAUGGUUUCAUCUGCAGUCAUAUGGUAUAUAUGGUUUCAUCUGCAGUCAUAUGGUAUAUAUGGUUUCAUCUGCAGUCAUAUGGUAUAUAUGGUUUCAUCUGCAGUCAUAUGGUAUAUAUGGUUUCAUCUGCAGUCAUAUGGUAUAUAUGGUUUCAUCUGCAGUCAUAUGGUAUAUAUGGUUUCAUCUGCAGUCAUAUGGCAUAUAUGGUUUCAUCUGCAGUCAUAUGGUAUAUAUGGUUUCAUCUGCAGUCAUAUGGUAUAUAUGGUUUCAUCUGCAGUCAUAUGGUAUAUAUGGUUUCAUCUGCAGUCAUAUGGUAUAUAUGGUUUCAUCUGCAGUCAUAUGGUAUAUAUGGUUUCAUCUGCAGUCAUAUGGUAUAUAUGGUUUCAUCUGCAGUCAUAUGGUAUAUAUGGUUUCAUCUGCAGUCAUAUGGUAUAUAUGGUUUCAUCUGCAGUCAUAUGGUAUAUAUGGUUUCAUCUGCAGUCAUAUGGUAUAUAUGGUUUCAUCUGCAGUCAUAUGGUAUAUAUGGUUUCAUUUGCAGUCAUAUGGCAUAUAUGGUUUCAUCUGCAGUCAUAUGGUAUAUAUGGUUUCAUCUGCAGUCAUAUGGUAUAUAUGGUUUCAUCUGCAGUCAUAUGGUAUAUAUGGUUUCAUCUGCAGUCAUAUGGUAUAUAUGGUUUCAUCUGCAGUCAUAUGGUAUAUAUGGUUUCAUCUGCAGUCAUAUGGCAUAUAUGGUUUCAUCUGCAGUCAUAUGGUAUAUAUGGUUUCAUCUGCAGUCAUAUGGUAUAUAUGGUUUCAUCUGCAGUCAUAUGGUAUAUAUGGUUUCAUCUGCAGUCAUAUGGUAUAUAUGGUGCUAUGUGACCAUAGUAUUUUGUGUUUUUUUUCCAGUAGAUGGCGCUGAUCAAUCACAAGAAAAUAAACAAAUGUAG
This 1050-nucleotide long non-coding RNA is filed under the name Oncorhynchus kisutch (coho salmon). Its description in RNAcentral is "lncRNA (ENSOKIG00005026940.1)". The record is from RNAcentral. Lineage: Eukaryota; Metazoa; Chordata; Actinopteri; Salmoniformes; Salmonidae.